Ribosomal RNA from Cercocebus atys (sooty mangabey), 99 nucleotides. NCBI's taxonomy places the organism in Eukaryota, Metazoa, Chordata, Mammalia, Primates, Cercopithecidae. The record is from Ensembl.
GUUUAUGGGCAUAACCCCCCAAUUCCGGAAGUUAAGUAUGGUCAGGCCUGGCCAGUAGUUGGAUGGGAGACCACCAGAGAAUACUGGUUGCUGUAGACU